Molecule: long non-coding RNA, 2651 nt
Organism: Rhea pennata
Lineage: Eukaryota; Metazoa; Chordata; Aves; Rheiformes; Rheidae
Exons: 3
Source: RefSeq, a predicted model, not a curated record
GCCGGGGCGUCGCGUGAGGAGCGGGGGCGCCGCGGCGGGAGGCGGCUGCCAGCACGUCCCGCGUCGCCGCCCUCACCCGCGCUGCUGAGCCGUGCUGCAGGCCUCAGAUUCGUUAAAAUCGAGCCCAGAAAAUGGUCUUUUUUGAGCAAAGACGGCGAGCUGCGGAGCGAGCUGGGCAGCUGUUCCGAUACAGCGACAUGUCCCGUAGGGAGUGCUGAUGACAAAAGCGUCUUGAUGUGUAUUUUGAUGGAACAUCUCAAUGAAUCAUUACUGGAUUUCCUGGAAUCUGGAUUGCUUAUUAUCCUGAACAAUUCUUCUUCGAGUAACAGGAUCAUUUGGCUUUCAAGACUGUGGGCUGAAUUCAUCAUGACUGUAACCCAUCAGUGCUUCAUAGGAUUACUUGGUCUCACAGGAAUAAGUAAGACAGAGAAUGUGAGCUCUGAGAAUGCAAAUACAUGGACAAAGCAUGUCUUUGGAACAGGGUGAGGAAUGCAGAUGAGUAUACUAGAAGGCGGACACUGAACAAUGAAUGACACUGGGAAAAUGCUAUGGUUUAACACAAGUCCACUCUCAACCAGGAGGCAAAGAGGUUGCUGACAGAUUCAUCUCAGAACCUUUGCAAAAGAGUUUCAAGCAAAGUGGAAGUACAUGCGAACUGUUUAAUAACUGCGUUGAAGAAAUACUGGUGGCUACAGAGGUGAAGGAGUCCAAGAACAAGAGGAAAACACAUGCUUUGAAAUGAACUGAAGGACUGAUCUGCAACCAUAGCAGCUGGUGGAGAUUAUUAGCAUGGAAAUGUUAUGUUUAGCACAGAUAUUGAAUCUCACAUACUAACAAAAAAUAGGUACCUGCCCUGUUAUUAGCUUAAUUUACAAAGACUUUAUAAUGCUUUGCAGAGCUAUACUGCUUUUCAUUGGAGACUAUUCACCACUCAGGGCACUUUACAGCUGUUACUAACAUCUCUUUACAAGUGGACAUCCUUGUCACACACUUACAAGUGAGGCAGUGAAAUUUGGGGAUAAUUUUGAGGAAUUCAAAUGAUUCUUAUGGAAAUUGGAUAAAACUAAGAAAUUGGAUGGAUGAAAUGGGUCAAAAACAUUAGUUAUUCUUAAGGCUGAAAUACGAAACACUGAAGUUACUCAACUUGUAAUGUAGAUAGUCUGUCAGAUUACAAGUCAAAGCUGUGGCAGGGUCUGAACUUAAUUUUUCAGCCCUUAGUGAUUUCUGUUUCCUCACUGCACUUGUUUCUGUUGUGGAAUACCAAAGGGUCCUGUAUAAUCUAUACAUGAACAACUGCGCCACCUGCUCACAUUGCUUAGCUGCAAAAAUGACUUCGCAGUAUUAGUGGUCAGCAUUGUACUAAAAUUGCUUUUCCCCUAACAAUCAGUACCAUUCACCUUAUUUCCUUCAUUCCUCUUGGUGGUCCCAUGUUGCAAUGAAGUGUUAUGCCACUUUCCUGAGAACAGUCACAAAGCUGAGGUGAACAUGUUGGCUGUAAUCAGUGCUUUGUACUUGGGAAACAAAGUAUUCCUUGGCUAUAAAAUCAACCAUAUGUAUAAGUGGUCUUUUUUUAAUGCCUGGCAGUUGUCCCAAGUCAUCACCUGCUUUUCCCUUAGCCAGGAGGAAUGAUAAAGAUCACACAGCUGGCAAGUCAACGGCUAUUAGUUUGGCUCCACUGUCUGGCUAGCAGGACAUGAUUAUACCUGCUACCAAUAAAUGCUUUCAAAUAUUCCAGGCAAGAGACAUGCCAGUUCCAUCUCAUUUACACUUUCAAAAUCUUUCAUCUCAAAGGACUGGCUAGGUGAUUAUUAUAUUUUUUUCUGCCUAGUAACUUAAGCUGUUUACUUCACGGAUAGUAUUUUUCGUCCCUAAAAAAAAGAGCCAGAUUCAGUCACUGAAGGUAGACUUCUUCUGUGAUUACACUUGGUGCCUGCAGGCUUUGGCCCUUAUUGUUGGGUUUGUGUUGUCAUUUACCCAGGUCUGCUGAUGUAUAGGAAAUGAAAUUCCAGUAACAACAGCCACUUGGGGUGUAUUUCCUCCCCACUACUACCUAGAGGUGCUGUAAGCAAUUGUCCUACAUUGCCAACCAUGAUGGAAAGUGGGCACAUGAGGAGAAAGGAGAAGCAUAUGCUAUACUCUGUUUUGGGGUAACAAGAAGUUUUUCUGUUGGAAACAUAAUAGAUGUGCCAAAUAUUAUCAUUGCCAUUAACAAAAAGGGCUGCACUGGUAUAGUCAUCUGUGUUUUAAUGCCUGGUGAUCGUGAAAGCAAAGGAAUGCCCCUCUGUCCACAAUAAGAAGCAAUCCCUGAAUCAUAACCUUCAGUAAAUGUUGUGCAAGGAAGCAAUGCAAAGGACUUUCUUAUCCUAUGCAUGUUAAGAACAAAGUUUCUUGGCAAUAAAUGAAGGGUUUAGAGAGAGUCAUGUUAUUUGCCUCAUGAAUUCUUUUGUGCGCAUGGAAAGCUGGUAUAAAACACCAGAAGGAGAGUAUGUUAGUCAUUGCAUUGCAGAAGCUUUGUUCAGUACUGGAAACAGAUGCCAAGUCCUGUGGCUCCUAAUUCAGUGUCUAACCAUAAGACUUCCCAUCUUCAUCUAACUGAAGAUGCUUGCUCAUCACUUUUAAAAAAGAUGCUAUUCUAAUCCUUUUUCUUCAUA